AGAGUUUGAUCCUGGCUCAGAGUGAACGCUGGCGGCGUGCUUAACACAUGCAAGUCGAGCGAAGUCUAUCAGCGUAUCGGUAGACUUAGCGGCAGACGGGUGAGUAAUACUUGGGCAAUCUGCCCUUAAGAGGGAAACAACCUGCCGAAAGGCGGGCUAAUGUCCCAUAAGACCACAGGGAUGCAUAUUCAAGGGGUCAA
This 200-nucleotide ribosomal RNA is filed under the name uncultured bacterium. Its description in RNAcentral is "partial 16S ribosomal RNA". It matches the Rfam family "Bacterial small subunit ribosomal RNA", at positions 8 to 204 of the family's 1533-position model. The record is from RNAcentral.